This 253-nucleotide ribosomal RNA is filed under the name uncultured bacterium. RNAcentral describes it as "partial 16S ribosomal RNA". It matches the Rfam family "Bacterial small subunit ribosomal RNA", at positions 524 to 776 of the family's 1533-position model. The record is from RNAcentral.
CACGUAGGGCGCAAGCGUUGUCCGGAAUUAUUGGGCGUAAAGAGCUCGUAGGCGGUCUGUUGCGUCCGCUGUGAAAACUCGGGGCUUAACCCCGAGCCUGCAGUGGAUACGGGCAGACUAGAGGUAGGUAGGGGAGAAUGGAAUUCAUGGUGUAGCAGUGAAAUGCGUAGAGAUCAUGAGGAAGACCAGUGGCGAAGGCGGCUCACUGGACUGGUAUUGACGCUGAGGUGCGAAAGCGUGGGGAGCAAACAGG